GAGUUUGAUCGUGGCUCAGAUUGAACGCUGGCGGCAGGCUUAACACAUGCAAGUCGAGCGGGGGAGGUUGCUUCGGUAACUGACCUAGCGGCGAACGGGUGAGUAAUACUUAGGAAUCUGCCUAUUAAUGGGGACAACAUCUCGAAAGGGAUGCUAAUACCGCAUACGCCCUACGGGGAAAGCAGGGGAUCACUUGUGACCUUGCGUUAAUAGAUGAGCCUAAGUCGGAUUAGCUAGUUGGUGGGGUAAAGGCCUACCAAGGCGACGAUCUGUAGCGGGUCUGAGAGGAUGAUCCGCCACACUGGGACUGAGACACGGCCCAGACUCCUACGGGAGGCAGCAGUGGGGAAUAUUGGACAAUGGGGGAACCCUGAUCCAGCCAUGCCGCGUGUGUGAAGAAGGCCUUAUGGUUGUAAAGCACUUUAAGCGAGGAGGAGGCUCUUCUAGUUAAUACCUAGGAUGAGUGGACGUUACUCGCAGAAUAAGCACCGGCUAACUCUGUGCCAGCCGCCGCCGUAAUACCG
Molecule: ribosomal RNA, 524 nt
Filed under: uncultured microorganism
Description: bacterial SSU rRNA
Rfam family: Bacterial small subunit ribosomal RNA
Source: RNAcentral